GCCAUCCUUUAAAGAAAGCGUAACAGCUCACUUGUCUAAAUAAGUUUUUCUGCGCUGAAAAUGUACCGGGGCUAAAGCUGUAUACCGAAGAUGUGAGUACUUAUUGAUUCCGAUCAAUAGGUGCGGUAGCGGAGCGUUCUGUAAGUCUGUGAAGGUAGUUUGUGAAAACUGCUGGAGAUAUCAGAAGUGAGAAUGCUGACAUAAGUAGCGUAAAAGAGUGUGAAAAACACUCUCACCAAAAAUCUAAGGGUUCCUACGUUAAGUUAAUCUGCGUAGGGUUAGUCGGUUCCUAAGGCGAGUCCGUAAAGGAGUAGUCGAUGGCAAUCAGGUUAAUAUUCCUGAACCUCUUAAGUGUGACGGGUUUUGUAUUUGUAUAAGUCUGAUUGGAUUGAUUUAUGCUUAAAAAAAACUCCAGGAAAUAGCACUUAUAUUUUAUGAGGCCGUACCGUAAACCGACACUGGUGGAUAGGUAGAGUAUACUAAGGUGUUGAGAGAAUGAUGUUGAAGGAACUCGGCAAAUUAUACCCGUAACUUUGGGAGAAGGGUAGCCUACUUUUAGGUAACUAUUAGUAGGUGGCACAGAAUAGGGAGUAGCGACUGUUUACUAAAAACACAGGACUCUGCAAACACGUAAGUGGAAGUAUAGGGUCUGACGCCUGCCCGGUGCUGGAAGGUUAAUAGGAGGGGUGUAAGCUCCAAAUUGAAGCCCCAGUAAACGGCGGCCGUAACACUGACGGUCCUAAGGUAGCGAAAUUCCUUGUCGGGUAAGUUCCGACCCGCACGAAUGGCGUAACGAUUUCUCCACUGUCUCCAACAUCAAUUCAGCGAAAUUGAAUUCCCCGUGCAGAUGCGGGGUACCCGCGGUUAGACGAAGAGACCCCGUGCACCUUUACUAUAACUUUGCAUUGUUAUUGAAAAUACAAUAUGCAGGAUAGGUGGGAGACUUUGAAGUUAUGACGCUAGUUAUGAUGGAGUUGACCUUGAGAUACCACCUUUUGUAUUUUCGGUAUCUAACUAUGUUUCAUUAUCUGAGACUAGGACAUUGCAUGGUGGGUAGUUUGACUGGGGCGGUCGCCUCCUAAAAUGUAACGGAGGCGUGCGAAGGUAAGCUAGGGCUGGUCGGAAAUCAGCUUGAUAGUAUAAUGGCAUAAGCUUGCUUGACUGCGAGGCUGACAGGCCGAGCAGGGACGAAAGUCGGUCAUAGUGAUCCGGUGAUUCUGUAUGGAAUGGUCAUCGCUCAACGGAUAAAAGGUACGCCGGGGAUAACAGGCUGAUGGUGUUCGAGAGUUCAUAUCGACGACACCGUUUGGCACCUCGAUGUCGACUCAUCACAUCCUGGGGCUGGAGAAGGUCCCAAGGGUUCGGCUGUUCGCCGAUUAAAGUGAUACGUGAGUUGGGUUUAGAACGUCGUGAGACAGUUCGGUUUCUAUCUGCCGUGGGUGAAGGAAAUUUGAGAAGAUCUGACUCUAGUACGAGAGGACCGAGAUGGAUAUACCUCUGGUGUACCAGUUGUUAUGCCAGUAGCAUUGCUGGGUAGCUAUGUAUAGAAGGGAUAAUUGCUGAAAGCAUAUAAGCGAGAAACCCUCUUCAAAAAGAUUUCCCAAUUAAGGUCGUGGGAGACUACCACGUUGAUAGGCUAGGUGUGGAAGCAUGGUAACAUGUGAAGCUAACUAGUACUAAUAGCCUGAUUGAUUUAUUUGC
This 1701-nucleotide ribosomal RNA is filed under the name Wolbachia endosymbiont of Menacanthus eurysternus. RNAcentral's name for it is "partial 23S ribosomal RNA". It matches the Rfam family "Bacterial large subunit ribosomal RNA", at positions 1115 to 2925 of the family's 2925-position model. Lineage: Bacteria; Pseudomonadati; Pseudomonadota; Alphaproteobacteria; Rickettsiales; Anaplasmataceae. The record is from RNAcentral.